GACGAACGCGGCGGCGUGCUUAACACAUGCAAGUCGAACGAAAAGAGGGAAAGAGCUUGCUCUUUCCGGAAUGAGUGGCAAACGGGUGAGUAACACGUAAACAACCUGCCUUCAGGAUGGGGACAACAGACGGAAACGACUGCUAAUACCGAAUAAGUUCCAAGAGCCGCAUGGCCCAUGGAAGAAAAGGUGGCCUCUACCUGUAAGCUAUCGCCUGAAGAGGGGUUUGCGUCUGAUUAGCUGGUGGAGGGGUAACGGCCCACCAAGGCGACGAUCAGUAGCCGGUCUGAGAGGAUGAACGGCCACACUGGAACUGAGACACGGUCCAGACUCCUACGGGAGGCAGCAGUGGGGAAUCUUCCGCAAUGGGCGAAAGCCUGACGGAGCAACGCCGCGUGAGUGAUGACGGCCUUCGGGUUGUAAAACUCUGUGAUCCGGGACGAAAAGGCAGAGUGCGAAGAACAAACUGCAUUGACGGACCGGAAAAGCAAG
This 492-nucleotide ribosomal RNA is filed under the name Dialister invisus. RNAcentral's name for it is "bacterial SSU rRNA". It matches the Rfam family "Bacterial small subunit ribosomal RNA", at positions 28 to 490 of the family's 1533-position model. The record is from RNAcentral. Lineage: Bacteria; Bacillati; Bacillota; Negativicutes; Veillonellales; Veillonellaceae.